Molecule: long non-coding RNA, 1814 nt
Filed under: Ananas comosus (pineapple)
Lineage: Eukaryota; Viridiplantae; Streptophyta; Magnoliopsida; Poales; Bromeliaceae
Description: long non-coding RNA (ACOM_LNC023801)
Source: RNAcentral
CGCGCAUUGCGGCGGAAUGAUACUAUAGAAUAUAAAAUAUAAAUAACAUAAAAGUUUUAAAUUUUUUGAUUUGAUAUGGGACUUCAAUAAACACAAGUAUAAAAUAUAAAAUAGAUAUAGGUAUAGAUAUAAUAAAAUUUAUAAUUUCGAUAAAUAAAUCACACAUAAUAAUAAUAAAAUAAGCAAUAAAAUUUUUUUUACCCCAUACACAUCUUCAUUGCACUAUCGACAUCGGAGAGACAAAUUCCGAUCUUUACAUCGCCUUCGCCGCUAGUGUCCAGCUCCUCUUUAGUCACGACCAUAUCAAUCCCGUAUCCACAUCCACUGCUUCUUCUCUCUCACUGACUCCAAAUCCAUCACCAUUUUCUUCUGCAGCGCUCCGUCGCGAUCCUCGAAACCCUAAUUUCAAUCUACACACAACAAAAAAUUUUAAAAAGUUACAAAACAUGAGCCAUUUUUGUGCGCCAAGAAAAAAAGAAACAAAAAAGAUAUGAAGAAAUGGAGAUUAAACCAUGAAAACAUAUUAAUUGAGAGAUAAGGGGGAGAAAAAAAAUAAUAUAAAAAAAAAGAUAUGAAGAAAUGGAGAUGAAACCAUGUAAACAUAUUAAUUGAGAGAUAGGGGGGGUUAGGAAGAUGAAGCAUUGAGUAGAAAUGGUAUUAUGUAAACACAUUAAUUGAGUGGGGGUUUAGGAAGAUGAAACAUUGUAUGAAACCAUAUAAACAUAUUAAUUGAGAGAUAGGGGGGUUAGGAAGAUGAAGCAUUGGAUGGAGAUGGUAUUAUGUAAACAUAUUAAUUGAGUGGAGGUUUAGGAAGAUGAAACAUUGGGUGAAAAUGAGAGUGGAAAGAGAGAAGAGAAAAGAGUGAAGGAGAAUUAGCCACGUGGCAAAAAAUUAGGAGAAAUAAUGUAUAGGUAUAGAUGUGUGUAUGUUUGUGAAAUUAAUGCGCAUGUUUAUCAUUUUUUUUUUUUUUUGGAGAAUGUUUUACUGUCGGUUACAGUUACAGCGUACGUACGUAGACGCCCCUCGCAUGUAAUUAAAGAGGAUAUAUCAUGCACGGUUUAUUUAUUAAGCUUGGGCAUUAGAGUCGUUACUAAAUUUAUUUGCCUAUAUUACUCUCUCUCUCUCUCUCUCUCUCUCUCUCUCUCUCUCUCUCUCUCUCUAUAUAUAUAUNUUUGUACUUGUAGGUUUUUAACCGUUAGAUCAGUACUGUUAAUCAUUUACACCCGUUAGAUUAUACUAUUUAACCAACCACCCACUCAACCCUAGGGGACCCACAUCAUCCUAACCAUAUAUUUUUUAAUCUAAAGGCUAAAAACUUACAAGCACUAAUGGCUUGGUACUUUUAAAAGUAUAGAAGCUCAAUUAUAUAUAUAUAUAUAUUCUGAUCACACUCUCUGCUUGUUUCUUUAUUUACUGACCCACUAUUUAUCUCAGUAGAGGAAGAGAUAAAAACAAUAGUAAAAGAUUAUUAUAUAUUGGAAAAACUUCAAAUAAUACUGAUGUGAUUUUUUUUUUUUACUUUAGUAUCGUGUGGUUUAAACUUUAAAGUGUAUCACUUUCAUACUCUGUGAUUUUAUUUUUCUCUUUUUAUUAUCUCAUCAAUCAAUUUUUCUUACUAAAUCAGUGAUAAAAUUAAAAUUAAAAAGUACUAAAAUACAUAUUCGAUAAACUAUAGGUGGAUAUUUAAAAAGAGAAAAAUAGAACCACAAGAUACUAAAUUGAUAUACUUUAAAUUAUAGAAUAUUAAAAUGAGAAAGUGUGAAAUCAUAAGGAUGGUAUUUAAAGCUUAUCCUUAUAUAUAUAUAUAUAUAUAU